UACAGAGGUCUCAAGCGUUGUUCGGAUUCAUUGGGCGUAAAGGGUGCGUAGGCGGCGCGGUAAGUCGGGUGUGAAAUCUCGGAGCUUAACUCCGAAACUGCAUUCGAUACUGCCGUGCUUGAGGACUGGAGAGGAGACUGGAAUUUACGGUGUAGCGGUGAAAUGCGUAGAUAUCUGGAGGAACACCGGUGGCGAAGGCGGCAUCCUGGACCGGUAUUGACGCUGAGGCGCGAAAGCCAGGGGAGCAAACGGG
This 253-nucleotide ribosomal RNA is filed under the name uncultured bacterium. Its description in RNAcentral is "partial 16S ribosomal RNA". It matches the Rfam family "Bacterial small subunit ribosomal RNA", at positions 524 to 776 of the family's 1533-position model. The record is from RNAcentral.